RNAcentral lists this ribosomal RNA (487 nucleotides) under uncultured bacterium. RNAcentral describes it as "bacterial SSU rRNA". It matches the Rfam family "Bacterial small subunit ribosomal RNA", at positions 23 to 507 of the family's 1533-position model. The record is from RNAcentral.
CUCAGAUUGAACGCUAGCGGCAGGCUUAAUACAUGCAAGUCGAGGGGCAGCACGGUUAGCAAUAACUGGUGGCGACCGGCGCACGGGUGCGUAACACGUAUACAAUCUACCUUAAACAGGGGGAUAGCCUUUCGAAAGAGAGAUUAAUACCCCGUAAUAAAUUGAACGGCAUCGUUUGAUUUGAAAGCUCCGGCGGUUUGAGAUGAGUAUGCGUCUGAUUAGCUAGUUGGUGAGGUAACGGCUCACCAAGGCGACGAUCAGUAGGGGACCUGAGAGGACUAACCCCCACACUGGUACUGAGACACGGACCAGACUCCUACGGGAGGCAGCAGUAAGGAAUAUUGGUCAAUGGAGGCAACUCUGAACCAGCCAUGCCGCGUGCAGGAUGACGGCCCUAUGGGUUGUAAACUGCUUUUAUACAAGAGAAAACCCUGGUACGUGUACCAAGUUGAUAGUAUUGUAAGAAUAAGCAUCGGCUAACUUCGUG